GGCUCAGGAUGAACGCUAGCGGCAGGCUAACACAUGCAAGUCGAGGGGCAGCGCGGAGUAGCAAUACUCUGGCGGCGACCGGCGAAAGGGUGAGUAACGCGUGAGCAACAUGCCCGAUAGUGGAGGAUAGUCGAUGGAAACGUCGUGUAAUACUCCGUAACAUACGGGACCGCAUGAUUCUGUAUUAAUAGAUUUAUUGCUAUCGGAUUGGCUCGCGUACCAUUAGCUGGUUGGCGGGGUAACGGCCCACCAAGGCGACGAUGGUUAGGGGUUCUGAGAGGAAGGUCCCCCCACAUUGGAACUGAGACACGGUCCAGACUCCUACGGGAGGCAGCAGUGAGGAAUAUUGGACAAUGGCCGGAAGGCUGAUCCAGCCAUGCCGCGUGCGGGAAGAACCGGCCCUAUGGGUUGUAAACCGCUUUUGUUGGGGAGCAAUAAGGAGCACGUGUGCUUCGAUGAGAGUACCCAGCGAAUAAGCAUCGGCUAACUCCGUGCCAGCAGCUGC
Molecule: ribosomal RNA, 505 nt
Filed under: uncultured bacterium
Lineage: Bacteria
Description: bacterial SSU rRNA
Rfam family: Bacterial small subunit ribosomal RNA
Source: RNAcentral